RNAcentral lists this ribosomal RNA (1405 nucleotides) under Staphylococcus warneri. RNAcentral describes it as "bacterial SSU rRNA". It matches the Rfam family "Bacterial small subunit ribosomal RNA". RNAcentral also lists the same sequence under 1 other name. Lineage: Bacteria; Bacillati; Bacillota; Bacilli; Caryophanales; Staphylococcaceae. The record is from RNAcentral.
UGCAAGUCGAGCGAACAGAUAAGGAGCUUGCUCCUUUGACGUUAGCGGCGGACGGGUGAGUAACACGUGGAUAACCUACCUAUAAGACUGGGAUAACUUCGGGAAACCGGAGCUAAUACCGGAUAACAUAUUGAACCGCAUGGUUCAAUAGUGAAAGGCGGCUUUGCUGUCACUUAUAGAUGGAUCCGCGCCGUAUUAGCUAGUUGGUAAGGUAACGGCUUACCAAGGCAACGAUACGUAGCCGACCUGAGAGGGUGAUCGGCCACACUGGAACUGAGACACGGUCCAGACUCCUACGGGAGGCAGCAGUAGGGAAUCUUCCGCAAUGGGCGAAAGCCUGACGGAGCAACGCCGCGUGAGUGAUGAAGGUCUUCGGAUCGUAAAACUCUGUUAUCAGGGAAGAACAAAUGUGUAAGUAACUGUGCACAUCUUGACGGUACCUGAUCAGAAAGCCACGGCUAACUACGUGCCAGCAGCCGCGGUAAUACGUAGGUGGCAAGCGUUAUCCGGAAUUAUUGGGCGUAAAGCGCGCGUAGGCGGUUUUUUAAGUCUGAUGUGAAAGCCCACGGCUCAACCGUGGAGGGUCAUUGGAAACUGGAAAACUUGAGUGCAGAAGAGGAAAGUGGAAUUCCAUGUGUAGCGGUGAAAUGCGCAGAGAUAUGGAGGAACACCAGUGGCGAAGGCGACUUUCUGGUCUGUAACUGACGCUGAUGUGCGAAAGCGUUGGGGAUCAAACAGGAUUAGAUACCCUGGUAGUCCACGCCGUAAACGAUGAGUGCUAAGUGUUAGGGGGUUUCCGCCCCUUAGUGCUGCAGCUAACGCAUUAAGCACUCCGCCUGGGGAGUACGACCGCAAGGUUGAAACUCAAAGGAAUUGACGGGGACCCGCACAAGCGGUGGAGCAUGUGGUUUAAUUCGAAGCAACGCGAAGAACCUUACCAAAUCUUGACAUCCUUUGACCGCUCUAGAGAUAGAGUCUUCCCCUUCGGGGGACAAAGUGACAGGUGGUGCAUGGUUGUCGUCAGCUCGUGUCGUGAGAUGUUGGGUUAAGUCCCGCAACGAGCGCAACCCUUAAGCUUAGUUGCCAUCAUUAAGUUGGGCACUCUAAGUUGACUGCCGGUGACAAACCGGAGGAAGGUGGGGAUGACGUCAAAUCAUCAUGCCCCUUAUGAUUUGGGCUACACACGUGCUACAAUGGACAAUACAAAGGGCAGCUAAACCGCGAGGUCAAGCAAAUCCCAUAAAGUUGUUCUCAGUUCGGAUUGUAGUCUGCAACUCGACUACAUGAAGCUGGAAUCGCUAGUAAUCGUAGAUCAGCAUGCUACGGUGAAUACGUUCCCGGGUCUUGUACACACCGCCCGUCACACCACGAGAGUUUGUAACACCCGAAGCCGGUGGAGUAACCA